UACGUAGGGGGCAAGCGUUGUCCGGAAUCAUUGGGCGUAAAGCGCGUGUAGGCGGCCCGAUAAGUCCGCUGUGAAAGUCCAGGGCUCAACCCUGGAAAGCCGGUGGAUACUGUCGGGCCCGAGUCCGGAAGAGGCGAGUGGAAUUCCUGGUGUAGCGGUGAAAUGCGCAGAUAUCAGGAGGAACACCGAUGGCGAAGGCAGCUCGCUGGGACGGUACUGACGCUGAGACGCGAAAGCGUGGGGAGCAAACAGG
This 253-nucleotide ribosomal RNA is filed under the name uncultured bacterium. Its description in RNAcentral is "partial 16S ribosomal RNA". It matches the Rfam family "Bacterial small subunit ribosomal RNA", at positions 524 to 776 of the family's 1533-position model. The record is from RNAcentral.